This 273-nucleotide ribosomal RNA is filed under the name uncultured bacterium. Its description in RNAcentral is "partial 16S ribosomal RNA". It matches the Rfam family "Bacterial small subunit ribosomal RNA", at positions 524 to 796 of the family's 1533-position model. The record is from RNAcentral.
UACGAAUGGUGCAAGCGUUAAUCGGAAUUACUGGGCGUAAAGCGCGCGUAGGUGGUUUGUUAAGUUGGAUGUGAAAGCCCCGGGCUCAACCUGGGAACUGCAUCCAAAACUGGCAAGCUAGAGUAUGGCAGAGGGUGGUGGAAUUUCCUGUGUAGCGGUGACAUGCGUAGAUAUAGGAAGGAAAACCAGUGGCGAAGGCGACCACCUGGGCUAAUACGGAAACGGAGGUGCGCAAUCGUGGGGAGCCCACAGGCGGCGAUAACACCGUAGUCC